RNAcentral lists this long non-coding RNA (793 nucleotides) under Cricetulus griseus (Chinese hamster). RNAcentral's name for it is "lncRNA (ENSCGRG00015033823.1)". Lineage: Eukaryota; Metazoa; Chordata; Mammalia; Rodentia; Cricetidae. The record is from RNAcentral.
CUAAGCUCCACCCUGGGUUGGGGACAGGUCUUUACCAAGAUAAGAGGAGUCAAGAAGUCCGGUCAUAAUCACAACAAUAUGCUUGUCAGUCAAAGGCACCGGAAGAUUGCUUAGGUGCAAAGAAAGCAUUUUCCCCUGAAAGGAAACAGGGCAAUUGAAAUCACUACUUUUCAAGACGCUGAAGUCAAAACUGUUACCAGUUUCAUGGUGUGAAAAUCCAGGUCUCAGCACCCUCCUGGUUAGACCUCAGUAUGUCCCGAGGCUAUCUAUCCAAAAACACAAGUUACAGUCUGAAGUUCAGAAGAAAUUAGACUAAAGGAAAGCACCUCGAUCAAGGUUGAUUUCCCCACCAUUAUUUUCAGGAAGAAGUUGCAAAAUACGGUUCCAGAAAUAAAAACUACACGCAUACAUCCACAUGAAUUUCUGAGCAAGAUGCCAAGCCCUUCUCUGAAGCCAUGUGAAUUUUUCUCUUGUGCGUUUGUCAGCCUGAGUCCAAGCCAUCUUACUCUUUCCUCACUUCUGUCUGGUUUUGGUUAGCUGCUUCUUGGCAUUGCUUCCGCUGGAGCUGAGGGCGUCUGCUCCCCCCACCCACUCCCUCGCCUUUCUCAUCCCUCCUCUUUUCUUUCCUUUCCCUUUAAAAUGUCUCUUUUGGUAUUCUUUCUCCUGGGUCCCAUAAUGACUCCGAGGGAGUAAAAAGGGAGCAAAAUAAGAUUAAACGGUCUCUCACACCCACACUGUCCAUCUCCAUCAGAUAUUCACACAAAAUGUAAAGAGCAUGCUCCCAGGAAGAGCC